Molecule: non-coding RNA, 2094 nt
Organism: Leptonychotes weddellii (Weddell seal)
Lineage: Eukaryota; Metazoa; Chordata; Mammalia; Carnivora; Phocidae
Source: RefSeq, a predicted model, not a curated record
UUUUUUUCCCCUUCAGGCAUUGAAAAGGAAAAGAUGAAAUAUAUGUUUAUAUAUAACUCUGUUUCUACAUACCUCACUGAAGUCAAAACGCAUUUAAUUGUUAUAUUUCCCUUUCUCCAUGAUCUCGGACACUGGUAAAGUAGAAGAAACUGAGGUACGAUGAAACAGAAAAGUCUCUGGGACUGAGAAAAAGACAGAGGACCCGAAACAGGGCCGCGCACAAAGCGCCUGAUAACUUUGUGUGGUUAACGAAUGGACGAGCAGCCCGCGCGCGUGAGUCGCGGAAGCCGUCGCGGAAGCCCUCGCAGGUCCCGACCUGGUCCCGACCCGGUGUCCGGACGGUCCCUCCGCAGCAGCCGUCCCUGCUCUUGUUGUGGACGUCAUCCCACAUCCCUCGCAGCCAAGGGUCCUGUGCCACCCACGUCCCACCCGUGAGAUGUGCUCAGAAGUCUUCGAAGGACUGCUGGCAAAAUGAGUGCUUGCAUCUAGGCCCCGCCCUUGCCGCCUCCCCCCUUCCCCCCUUCCCCCCUUCCUGCCCACGGCGCGGGCCCGAAGUAGAGAAGCGAGACCAGCGACAAACGUGAGGCCCAGAGCUGCCCUGUGGAAUGAUGGCACCACAGACUCUUAUUUGAGAAAAACGAACUCUUGGUAGUUAGGUCCGAGCACUGAGCCUUCUGUUCUUUGCACGGGAUCCGUUCUCAGUGACCCGCUGGGGUGGAGGAAGGUCUGCCCGGAGGGGCUGUCCGCUAAGGGCAGGGGGACAUUUCAUCUUGCUCACUGCUCCAGAGGAGGGCCGGCAGGACUCACCAGCACAGAUGUGACUCUCCACCUCUCUGCAGCUCUCUUCAAAUGGCCAGGGCGGGCAAGCGGCAAGACCUUCACGUGUUCUGCGUCGUAUGGCCCGAGUUCCAACAUUUCAAAGAGCAGGGCUUACGUGGACCGUUCAUUCCUGGAUGAUGAAUACAGGUGUGUCUUUAUUGCCACUCCACGCCGGGCAUUCGGGGGCUGUUGCGGGCGCAGAGAUGACUGAGUCAGAUGGUGGAGGCCGUCCCAAUAGCAACAAUGUCCAUGGGGUUUACCCAAACUCGGCUGUGCGGGGCUGGGCCCGUCAACCUUAACCUGCCGCCGGUGUCUGGGCGUUGGGGUCAAGACUAAAUGAGAGAUCCCCUCCCUCUGCUCCAGUGUGCAUCCAGAUCGGAAUCGGGGGCAGUACUAAAAGGUUUCAGACUAGUCCUAAACUUCGCCCCCAGGGUUAAAGCUUUAGGAAUUGCUGCCACGGGAACACAGGUGUAAGAGUCGAGGUAGAGCACUGAGACGGGUGCUCAGAGUCCCGGGACUACAUUAUAUUAGCACCUUUCACACGUCACUUUAAAUGACCCGUUUGUGUGUGUGUACUAUGUCGGGGCAGAGGAUUGGGCCAUUUUGAGACUCAUGGAAAUGAUAGCACCUUUCUCCAAAAUAAUACGUAUCUGAGCUUGCGCACACGUGCAAACACACACACAGACACACGAUUUAGAAACCACCUCAGCACUUCUGGAGAUCCAGGUGAAGAAUCCACUUGCGACUUGCCCUGAGGGUGGAAACGUUUUCUGGACCAUAAUUUGGUCCUUUAUUGGGUACUGUCUUCACUUACCUUUUCAUGUGUGUAUGUUUUAUCCCAUUGAGAAGGCGGCCCCUGCGAGGACAUACGGGCCUUUGCUCUCCUCAGUGAUCUGUGCUCACAGGGACGGCAGCUCGAGGGAAAUCCGCCAGUUGAGUCCUUUGAAGUCGCUAUGGUUUCCUGAGGAUGGGCAGCGUUCAGUAUUCCAACUGUCACCCCACCCCGCUCCAAAACAGAAGAGGUCACCGCAAGAGGACUUGGACCCCACGCUCAUGUGCUAUGUACUUUCUAGAUUUUUGGCCGAGGCAAUAUUUACAUACUCCUCAUGCAAACAGCCAGCCUUGGAUUUGUAGAGAACAACAAGGUAGUGCCUCGGGAAAAGCUUUACACACACGCACACACGUCGGUCACAGCGUCCCAUCCACACUAGUUACUAUGGACAGAUGAGUUCACUCAACAUUGGAGGUCAUCCCAUCAACAUUUAUUGAGCAGCG